RNAcentral lists this ribosomal RNA (225 nucleotides) under uncultured bacterium. Its description in RNAcentral is "partial 16S ribosomal RNA". It matches the Rfam family "Bacterial small subunit ribosomal RNA", at positions 15 to 231 of the family's 1533-position model. The record is from RNAcentral.
GAUCAUGGCUCAGGAUGAACGCUAGCUACAGGCUUAACACAUGCAAGUCGAGGGGCAGCGGGAUUGAAGCUUGCUUCAAUUGCCGGCGACCGGCGCACGGUGAGUAACGCGUAUCCAACCUUCCGUACACUCACGGGAUAGCCUUUCGAAAGAAAGAUUAAUACCUGAUGGUAUGAUGAGAUUGCAUGAUAGCAUCAUUAAAGAUUUAUCGGUGUACGAUGGGGA